RNAcentral lists this ribosomal RNA (441 nucleotides) under uncultured bacterium. RNAcentral's name for it is "partial 16S ribosomal RNA". It matches the Rfam family "Bacterial small subunit ribosomal RNA", at positions 338 to 795 of the family's 1533-position model. The record is from RNAcentral.
CCUACGGGAGGCAGCAGUGGGGAAUAUUGCACAAUGGGGGAAACCCUGCUGCAGCGACGCCGCGUGAGCGAGGAAGUAUUUCGGUAUGUAAAGCUCUAUCAGCAGGGACGAAAAAAGACGGUACCUGACUAAGAAGCCCCGGCUAACUACGUGCCAGCAGCCGCGGUAAUACGUAGGGGGCAAGCGUUAUCCGGAUUUACUGGGUGGAAAGGGAGCGUAGACGGCAAGGCAAGCCAGAAGUGAAAGGGCAGGGCUCAACCCUGUACAUGCUUUUGGAACUGUGGUGCUAGAGUGCAGGAGAGGUAAGUGGAAUUCCUAGUGUAGCGGGGAAAUGCGUAGAUAUUAGGAGGAACACCAGUGGCGAAGGCGGCUUACUGGACUGUAACUGACGUUGAGGCUCGAAAGCGUGGGGAGCAAACAGGAUUAGAUACCCUUGUAGUC